UAGCAAGACACAAAAUGAUUGGUAUCGCGUCCGCCCAUUAGAAAAUUAUUGAGCGAACCAAAUUUGUACCCUCUCAGUUGAUGGUAGCGGACUCCGUGAAGCAGGCCAUUGGGGCCCGCAACACGGGUGGGUUAAUCAACCCACGCGUUUACUAACAGGAAAGGAAUAUAUAGACGGUAUUCGUCUGCGGAUAAAUGCCCUACCCACGAAGUCUCGUACUACAAGGGGAAGGCACGAAUUGGAACGACAGUGUCGUGCAGGAUGUGACGCUCCCGAAACAACAAACCAUAUUAUGCAAAAAUGUUACCGAUCGCAUGGGAGGCGCAUAGCUAGACACAACUGCGUAGUAAAUCGAAUCAAGCGGGGACUUGAGGAGAGAGGCUGCGUAGUCAUUGUUGAACCAAGUCUGCAGUGCGAAUCCGGUCUUAAUAAACCAGACCUGGUGGCACUACGACAAAAUCACAUUGAUGUGAUCGACAUACAAAUUGUGACAGACGGACACUCUAUGGAUGAUGCACACCAGCGCAAAAUCAAUAGAUACGACAGACCGGACAUACGAACUGAGUUGCGUCGCAGAUUCGAAGCCGCAGGUGACAUUGAAUUCCAUUCUGCCACCCUGAACUGGAGGGGGAUCUGGAGUGGUCAAUCCGUUAAAAGAUUGAUAGCGAAGGGUCUCCUCAGCAAAUAUGAUAGUCAUAUCAUUAGCGUCCAGGUUAUGAGAGGCAGUCUCGGUUGUUUUAAACAGUUCAUGUACCUGAGCGGGUUUUCCCGAGAUUGGACUUAGCUAAAACGUUUGGUUCAAAACAUUUGCUUGCUGUCUUGGCAUAACAUCAAUAAAGGCAUAAACAUCGCAAAUAAUGGUAAUAUAUAAAUUGGCUAUGAGGAUGGUUUUAGUACGUAGGCGUUGCGGAACUUCGGUUCAGAUAGAGCAAUGAAUCGUGCAUGCUAGGAAACUGAAGUGUUGACAGACCUAGUAUCUUUCGAUAGAUUUCCAUACCUCCGCGAUCAAAAAAAAAAAAAAAAUAGCCAAAUGCCUCGUCAUCUAAUUAGUGACGCGCAUGAAUGGAUUAACGAGAUUCCUACUGUUCCUAUCUACUAUCUAGCGAAACCACAGCCAAGGGAACGGGCUUGGAAUAAUUAGCGGGGAAAGAAGACCCUUUUGAGCUUGACUCUAAUCUGGCAGUGUAAGGAGACAUAAGAGGUGUAGAAUAAGUGGGAGAUAUUAGACCUCGGUUUGGUAUCGUCAAUGAAAUACCACUACUCUUAUUGUUUCCUUACUUACUUGAUUAAAUGGAACGUGUAUCAUUUCCUAGCCAUUAUACGGAUAUAUUUAUUAUAUCUUAUGGUAUUGGGUUUUGAUGCAAGCUUCUUGAUCAAAGUAUCACGAGUUUGUUAUAUAAUCGCAAACAAAUUCUUUAAUAAAACGAUGCAUUUAUGUAUUUUUGAUUUGAAAAUUUGGUAUAACUCCAAUUACUCAGGUAUGAUCCAAUUCAAGGACAUUGCCAGGUAGGGAGUUUGACUGGGGCGGUACAUCUCUCAAAUAAUAACGGAGGUGUCCCAAGGCCAGCUCAGUGCGGACAGAAACCACACAUAGAGCAAAAGGGCAAAUGCUGACUUGAUCUCGGUGUUCAGUACACACAGGGACAGCAAAAGCUCGGCCUAUCGAUCCUUUUGGUUUAAAGAGUUUUUAACAAGAGGUGUCAGAAAAGUUACCAUAGGGAUAACUGGCUUGUGGCGGCCAAGCGUUCAUAGCGACGUCGCUUUUUGAUCCUUCGAUGUCGGCUCUUCCUAUCAUUGUGAAGCAAAAUUCACCAAGCGUUGGAUUGUUCAAUCAUUAAUAAGAGACAAUUCUAGAUGAAAAAUAUUUCAAUUUUUUAUGCUAGACAUUUCUCAGUAUUAUUUGAUUGAAAAAGAAAAUAUUUCUCUUCGUUUUUCACAUUCAAAUGUGAGAUAAUGUUUUUCAUUUCUUUUUUAAUAUUAUGAAUAAAAUCAUUAUUUAAUCCCAAUAAUAUACCAUAUGCUUAUAAAAAAUUUAUAAACAACUUAAUUAGCAUAGUCUUACAACCCUCAACCAUAUGUAGUCCAAGCAGCACUAUAAAAUUAUUUAAAGUACAUAACAGCAUGGACUGCGAUAUGCGUUCAAAAUGUCGAUGU
RNAcentral lists this ribosomal RNA (2154 nucleotides) under Drosophila sechellia. RNAcentral's name for it is "eukaryotic LSU rRNA". The stretch from base 864 to 2154 matches the Rfam family "Eukaryotic large subunit ribosomal RNA", at positions 1890 to 3359 of the family's 3401-position model. The record is from RNAcentral. Lineage: Eukaryota; Metazoa; Arthropoda; Insecta; Diptera; Drosophilidae.